Molecule: non-coding RNA, 160 nt
Organism: Pelobates cultripes (western spadefoot toad)
Lineage: Eukaryota; Metazoa; Chordata; Amphibia; Anura; Pelobatidae
Source: the annotation of a GenBank genome assembly
UAUUAAAAGAUAGAGAAACAGAGCAAACCAGGAGCUUGAAGAAAGGAAUACAGCUAUGAAAUAUCUGACAAAUAUAGCAAUAUGCUAUAUUUGUCAGAUAUUUUAUAGCUGCAUUCCUUUCUUCAAGCUCCUGGUUUGCUCUGUUUCUAACCCUUUGUUU